AUGAUUGUACUGAAGCUUGAUUUUCAAAAAGCGUUUGACAGUGUUAGCUGGGAGGCUCUAAAACAAAUCCUUGCAGCAAGGGGCUUUGGGGAUAGAUGGAUCAGAUGGGUGGAUGAUAUCCUAGCCUCUAGUUCCUCCAGAAUUUUUAUCAACGACACUCCCGGCGAAAGGAUCCUAUCAAAGUGUGGCCUACGGCAGGGGGAUGCCCUGUCUCCAUACCUUUUCAUUUUGGUCGCAGAUAUUCUACAACAGCUCUGCCAGAAGGAGUACCAGGAGGGGAACCUAGUGCACCCCUUGGGAGCUGACGGGCCGUUCCCAAUCCUGCAGUACGCGGAUGACACGCUCAUUCUGUUGAGUUGA
RNAcentral lists this ribosomal RNA (360 nucleotides) under Triticum aestivum (bread wheat). RNAcentral describes it as "partial small subunit ribosomal RNA". The record is from RNAcentral. Lineage: Eukaryota; Viridiplantae; Streptophyta; Magnoliopsida; Poales; Poaceae.